RNAcentral lists this ribosomal RNA (162 nucleotides) under uncultured bacterium. RNAcentral's name for it is "partial 16S ribosomal RNA". It matches the Rfam family "Bacterial small subunit ribosomal RNA", at positions 1338 to 1500 of the family's 1533-position model. The record is from RNAcentral.
GUAAUGGCAGGUCAGCAUACUGCCGUGAAUACGUUCCCGGGCCUUGUACACACCGCCCGUCACACCAUGAGAGUUGGGAAUACCCGAAGCCUGUGAGCUAACUAAUAGAGGCAGCAGUCGAAGGUAGAAUCAAUGAUUGGGGUGAAGUCGUAACAAGGUAUC